Non-coding RNA from Jatropha curcas, 603 nucleotides. The record is from RefSeq and is a predicted model, not a curated record. NCBI's taxonomy places the organism in Eukaryota, Viridiplantae, Streptophyta, Magnoliopsida, Malpighiales, Euphorbiaceae.
ACCAUAUUAUACCGAAAAAGGAUCUUGUUUCUUAUACACCUGUUUUAGAAGAACACCAUGCCUCGUGUGAUCAUUAAUCAUCAUCAUCAUAAAACUAAAGGUGUUCCUAAAAUUUUAACUGAAAAUGAGCUGAAGAGGAUCUUCAUGCAAUUCGAUGUGAAUCGCGACAGUGUUCUUAGCAAAGAAGAGAUAAAGAAAGCAUUUGAGUAUCUUGGUGCUUUCUUUCCAGGCUUCAGAGCCAACCGAGGAAUUAGGUAUGCUGAUGCCAAUGGAGAUGGACAAGUUGACUUGACUGAGCUGGAUGAUCUGGUAAAUUAUGCUGUUAGACUUGGCUACUCUAUUAACUAGAAACAGCUUGUGAGAUGGAAAUUAAACAAGCAAGCUCCCUCUUAAAAUAAAAGUAUUUUAGUUUCUGGUGGCUGCCCUGCCAUGCACUUAUGAAUUAAAUGUGUUUGCUUCUUUAAUUUCUAUUAGAUAUAUGUAAGAAUAUAUGAAUGAACCAACCAAGAGUCAAGAGAGGAUAUAAAUACGAUCCUCCUGUGCUUCUCUUUUAUGUAUGGAUUUUCAAUUCUAGCUAAUGGGAAAACUUUGUUUUCUUAUUAA